ACUCAAAGGAAUUGACGGGGGCCCGCACAAGCGGUGGAGCAUGUGGUUUAAUUCGAUGCAACGCGAAGAACCUUACCUACUCUUGACAUCCAGGGAAUCUUGUAGAGAUACGAGAGUGCCUUCGGGAACCUUGAGACAGGUGCUGCAUGGCUGUCGUCAGCUCGUGUCGUGAGAUGUUGGGUUAAGUCCCGUAACGAGCGCAACCCCUAUCCUUAGUUACCAGCGAGUAAAGUCGGGGACUUUAAGGAGACUGCUAGUGCAAGCUAGAGGAAGGUGGGGAUGACGUCAAGUCAUCAUGGCCUUUAUGAGUAGGGCUACACACGUGCUACAAUGGGCGGUACAGAGGGAAGCGAAACCGUGAGGUGAAGCCAAUCCCAAAAAACCGUUCGUAGUCCGGAUUGGAGUCUGCAACUCGACUCCAUGAAGCUGGAAUCGCUAGUAAUCGCGAAUCAGCAUGUCGCGGUGAAUACGUUCCCGGGCCUUGUACACACCGCCCGU
Molecule: ribosomal RNA, 498 nt
Filed under: uncultured bacterium
Lineage: Bacteria
Description: partial 16S ribosomal RNA
Rfam family: Bacterial small subunit ribosomal RNA
Source: RNAcentral